RNAcentral lists this long non-coding RNA (1348 nucleotides) under Apteryx rowi (Okarito brown kiwi). RNAcentral describes it as "lncRNA (ENSARWG00000004709.1)". The record is from RNAcentral. Lineage: Eukaryota; Metazoa; Chordata; Aves; Apterygiformes; Apterygidae.
AUGAUAGAGCUUUGUAUGGGAACACAGACAAUAUGCAUGUCUGUAUGCAGCUUGGAGAACAGUAUGAAUGUAAUUUUCUCUGUAUGGCAUCCACAGGGGCCCUUGGACAUUUGGAUACAUAAAGAAGCUGUUUUUAUCUCCUUGGCCAAAAUGAUCAGUCCCUGGAAUAAGCAGGUAAAAAAGCAUGAUGUUCAGCGUGCUGUUAGUUUACCUUCACCACGUGAUAUUCAGUUUGCUUUUAAAAUGCUUACACUGUGGCUGCCCCUUUGGCUGCCUGUGCUGCUAGUGGUGAUGGGGAUGUUAGGGGGAGGGAAGCAGCUUGGCAGCAAGUCAGCGGUAGGCGGAUGAAGGUGGAGUCAGGGCACUGGCGUCAGUGAUCUCUUUUCCAUUUUGCCCUUCACUCACCUCCUCCUGGCUGCCUGCUGAGCUCCUUCUUCCUCUCCCUUCCCCCAUCCUCCACCACCUCCAGCACAACCUGGACAGCUUAAAAAAAAAAAAGAAAGGAAAUGACAGACGUAGUUAACAGCUUUAAUUCGUGACAGAAAACUGAAACAGCCUAGAUAGAGAAGUAACACGAGCAAGGUAAGAACCUUGCUUUUCAUUUGCACUCCCCAUGCUUAGUUAUUAUAGCCUAUCAAAUGGUCAUCCACUUGGUGCACAUAAGACAUAAUGUAGUGAUUAGUAUACAGAAACCUUAUGUACAGAUAGUGCAAUUAUACUGCUUCAGAGUUUCUCAGAUCUGUGGGCUUGUCCAUGUUCCAGAAAAAGGUUGCAUUUCCACUCCCUCCUUCCAGGGUUUCAGCCAGCACUAGCCACCAGCACAAUUCUUUGCAAGCUGGACUCCUUCAAGAUUUGUUGAACUGGUAGUAUCACUGUUAGUGUAGUCUUUGGUAACCUCAGUUACAUUGACAUCAAGUGUAAGGACUGCAUACAAGGCUAGAGAAAUGUCUAAUAAGGUACACAGCCACAGCCCCCAAUAUCAUGUCAACCUUUUGGGUCCCAAACCAUUUGCAAAGAAGCAGCAUUAGGAACAGAAGAAUGCUGCAAAGCGUUUGCUGCCAACCUCUAUUGUUUUCCUUUCUCUACCUCCAUUUUUUGGGAGGUACUACUGCCUGACUCACUAGUAUUUGCAAAAAAACAAAAAAACCUGAGGGAGUCCUACCAUUUCUAGGUUGUUCCAUGAGUGAGAAAAUCACUGGUAACUGUAGGAUGGCAAGUGGUUUUAUCCUACAGCUUCCAAAGAAAAAAAAAAGAUGCUUAUGUUCUUGUCCAAGAAGCUCUUCACCUGCUUUUGAAUCCUGCCACUCUGGAUCAGUUCCACAUACUCCAAUCAAACAGCACACCAGAC